UACAAAGCCCUUUUAAGGGCUACAAAUACGAUUUUCUAAGAGAAAG
Molecule: non-coding RNA, 46 nt
Organism: Drosophila virilis
Lineage: Eukaryota; Metazoa; Arthropoda; Insecta; Diptera; Drosophilidae
Source: Rfam